This is a long non-coding RNA of Homarus americanus (American lobster), 4508 nucleotides long. RefSeq lists it as uncharacterized. The record is from RefSeq and is a predicted model, not a curated record. The transcript is spliced from 6 exons. NCBI's taxonomy places the organism in Eukaryota, Metazoa, Arthropoda, Malacostraca, Decapoda, Nephropidae.
GGUAGGUCUACGACUCUCUUGUACUGGAGAUUUGUCCAGUCCGCAAACUUCUGUCAACAACGUUAACGUCCGCCAAAGUCUUCAAGCAAAGAUGAAGGUCAUACUACUCCUGUUAUAUGCUUACCUGGCCCAGCAGGAGAUCUACCAGGCCUCUGCGGACACCCAGUUUUUGGAUGGCGCCCAAAGGCGAGUAGCGAGGCAGGUGGUGGAGCCGCCAGGUGAAGGGGAGUUCUGCGUCCGCUCUGAUCUUGAGCCGUCUUGGAUUAGCAAUGGGAAAUGCUGCAAGUGUAGGAAGACCAAGGUGAAGUGCAAGGAACUGAAAGAUUGCAAACCAGCCCCUGAGGAUACUACCUUCUGUUACUCUAACCAAGUCUGUGGCUGUGAAAGGUGGGUGUGUCGCUUUCAAAAUAAGAUCAGACGCUUCCUGGAGUUCAACGGAGGAAGUUUUGGCUGUGAUGCAGAAGCUGCCUGAUGACUUGGUUGGAGGAUGAUGGACUGACGAGAAGUUGAGGUGAUUGUGGACGUGGGUAGAGGCAAUGACUAAUAUAACUCUACUGUACCUUUAAAGGGAUCACCCGAAUAAUCGCUUCCUCAGCUCAUUUUAACCUGAAAAUUAACCAACCUAGCAUAACAUAACCUAACCUAAAUUAUCAUAGCCUAACUCAACCUAAACUAACCUAAAUUAGCAUAACCAAACUUAACCUAACUUAGACUAACCACUUUCCCAGGUAGUAUAAAGGUGGUUAAUAUCCAGGUGAAAAAACAAAAAACAAAAUAUGCUUGGCACCGAAAAUUCAGUUGAUCCCCUGUACUCUAUCUUGUAUUUACGGUUUAUUUAGGCAUAUUAUUACACCUACAGAUGUAUCGAUAUAUGUGAAUGAACAAUUUCUUGAUCUAUUGUAAUUAAAAAAACAAAAAAUGAUGUCAUGAUAGAAAUAGUAUGAUAUUUAAGUACAUGUCAAAGCUAAAUAUUCAUUUAUUGGUGAACAGAGAUGUAUUCAACGUGUUUCAAAUUCAUACACAUGUAUGAAGUAUGCAUAAAGUCGUGUUGGUCCUCGAUAGUGUCUCGGUUUCGAUAUCAAGUUCCUCUCUCGGUGAUCUCAAGUCUCGACUACAAUACUGAACCUCAGAUUUGAUAUUGUUUAACAGCAGACCGUCUUUCAGUAUUUUGAGUUGUUUGGCAAUAUUUUCAGUUGUUUGGCAAUAUUUUCAUUUGUUUGGCAAUAUUUUCAGUUGUUUGGCAAUAUUUUCAGUUGUGUGGCAAUAUUUUCAGUUGUUUAGCAAUAUUAUCAGUGGUUUGGCAAUAUUAUCAGUUGUGUGGCAAUAUUUUCAGUUGUUUGGCAAUAUUAUCAGUUGUGUGGUAAUAUUUUCAGUUGUUUGGCAAUACUGUAUUAUCAGUUGUGUGGUAAUAUUUUCAGUUGUGUGGCAAUAUUUUCAGUUGUUUGGCAAUACUGUAUUAUCAGUUGUUUAGCAAUAUUAUCAGUUCUGUGGUAAUAUUUUCAGUUGUUUGGCAAUAUUUUCAGUUGUGGCAAUAUUUUCAGUUGUUUAGCAAUAUUUUCAGUUGUUUGGCAAUAUUUUCAGUUGUUUGGCAAUAUUUGUAUUUGUUUGGCAAUAUUUUAAUUUGUUUGGCAGUGUUUACAGUUGUUUGGCAGUAAUUAUAGAUGUUUGUUAUGAUCAGUUAUUCUGGUCACGGCGUCUUUGUCCUCAGGUUGUCUUCAUAAAGUACUGUACAGUCGGGUACAAAAGUUCCCUACCCUGUGGUGAAACUUGAGGCACGGGAGCAAACUUCUGAACCAAACUGUACAUAAUUUACGUAUAUCAGUUAGCCAUCCAUCGUAUAUAAUUCCUCGAUAUAAUACUGAUGUUAUAUUUUUAAAGAAAGAAAGAAUGAACGAUCGGUUAUAACGGCUACAGAACGUUCGGUUAUGAAAUUAUAUAAAGGUAUCCUGCUGUGAAUCAUUAGCUGAUAGAAACGAUGUGAAUACUAACACAAAUGAACUCUCUUAACACCGCCUUGAACGUUAACACAGUUGCUUUGCCUUUUUGUGCCCAACUUCAAGGUGACUUACUUUUCACUGUUACUUUUAGUUUGUUUUACUUUUGGGUGUUAAUUUUAGCUCUUACUUUUAGGUCUUACUUUACAUGUAGGUGCUUUAUUUUUUUGGUCGUACCUUUAGGUUUAACUUUUUGAGGUCUUUAUUUUAGGUUUAUUUCUUUUAGGUCUUACUUUUGGGUCUCGUAAACCAUCAGAAAACCCCUCACAAAAUACACCUUGGGAUGACAUAAUAAAUACGUGCAGUAUGGUCUAAGUACAGUACUUCUUAGCUUAUUUAACAGGAUAGAUAGAUAGAUAGGUGGAUAGAUAAAGAUAUCAAUAUUUAUUCAGUAAAAUCAUUAUACGUACAAGUUUACAUUAAAUCAACAUUUAUAGUGACAGUGCAGGUAUACAAACAAUUUAUACAAACAACAUACAAUAGACAGUGAGUGUAGGUAUACAAACAACGUACGUACAGUAGACAGUGCAGAUAUACAAAGAUUGGUAAAGUGUAGUCGAGUUCACCAAGGAUAAGCAACAAAACCAUCCAGUACUCUCAAUGGCAUAGUUACUGGUCUUAAAAUAACAUGGGAUUGUACUGGAUGUCAGAGUAUUCACGUGGUUUUCUCACCAGCCUUCCUACUGUAGUACACAUGUGGUAGAAGUUGAGAGAAUCGAUCAUCAUAACUGCAGGAUUUAACAACAUUUGCUCCCAAUAUGACAUCCAUUAGAUCAUAAUGUAUUGGUCUUUGAAUAGUAGACCCAAGACGAGUACUGUAGGAUUGAGUAAAACACUAAGGAGAAUAUAAUUUUGUCAGAUAUAGUCAUGUCUGUUAUAAAAAUAGAUAGUACAUUAUAGAAAGAACCAGAUAGCAUACAUUAUAGAAAUAGUCGGAUAAGGUCGAACACCAUUCUAUAUAUAAACAACUUUAAUAAAUCAGUGUGACACAAACAAACAUGUAACAGAAAUUGGUCCAACACCUGGUAUAAAUGAGUCAAGAGUAAGGUGUAUUUUAGUGUGAACCGCUUCAGUUAUAUCAAGAGAGAGUGAGGUUAACAGAACUGCCUUGUGAUAUGUACUGUAUAAGUUCUCGUGUCAAUGUCUUGUAUAUAAGAGCAGUCAGUCUUGUAAUAAACUGAGAGUCAGAAGGUUUUAUUUAACUGAAAGAAGGUAAAUCAACUGAGUCAAAUACUUUAUUAUACUUGCUUGGAUUACAUGCAGAUUAGCCACCCCAGUUUAUUUCACUUAAUGAUUAAACACCCUAACGCUAACCUAACCUAACCCACCCCUUCCCCCAGGUAACGUUAAUGUUUAACUAUCAGGUGAAAUAAGCUAGAGGGGGUUAAUUUUCACGUGAACCUUUAGCUUAUUAAAUUCAAUGGCUGUACAAUUACCUGAAGGAGCGGGAGAAGCUCAUCAAGUGAACGACAAGAGCCGAGGAUUUUUACUGACUGUCUGUACUGGUUUUCAUUCCCAAGACCAACAGAAGGCGUCUACCUUCUUCACUCAACUCUACAACAAUGGUUCGCAAGAGAAUCGUCAAUACUAAAAGAAUUGAACAUUCAGUCAUUAGAAUAUGUUCAUUUUUUAAGCAUAUUUUUAAUAGCUUUCCGUUCUGUUCUGUCAGUAAGAUGCUGAGGAAAUACAACCAUGUGUAGCUGAAGUACUAUAAUCAGCGUGUGUGUGUGUGUGUGUGUGUGUGGAGGAUCAUCACAGAAGCCACGCUUUGUAGGUGAUUAAAGGUCUUUAUACAUCUUCAUUAUUAACAAUAAAGUUUAUUUACCUUGUUCUACUUAUAGUAAACAUUGGAUCAUGGUCACAGCAUAUAAACGUUGGACGUGGAUACCAUUUUAAAUUUUCUUGCUAAUUAUAAGCAACUGCAUAGGAACAGCUGUAUAUUUUGGCGAACUGUUAAGAAACGGUCGACUACAAGUGAAAAAAAAUCUCCUUGGGGAUAAUAACUGAACUGAUCAUUUAUGUUUUUCGUAAGAACAAGAGGGAUGUGCAGCAGACUGAGGCCAUUCAGUUGAUUGUGGGGGGUCGUCUGAGGGCUGGUGACCACGGCGGGCCUCCAGUCUAAAACGUUUACUUGCUGUCUGUACUAAUAUUUACAGGGUUUGUAUCUGUUUGGACCACAACUUUUAAUCUCGUUUACUUGGGUGGUACAGUAGAGUCUGAGUUUCUUACUUUUAGAUUGCAUGUGUAUGUUCAGCACCUGUACCUGUAGUCAUGAUAUGCGAGGCGCUCCGAGCAAGUAGUAAACAAACCAGAAAACGCAAUUUAUGUUUAGUAGUUUUGAAAUAGUUACACUGAUAUAAAUAAACACAUCUAAAGAAGUCGUUUUGUCAGCCGUUCUUGCCCGGGGCGUCUUGUAUUGGUCAGAGUUACUAGUACUGUACUUGAAUCAUCUUGAUAUUGGGGGUAUUAUUGUACUUAAUCAUUUGUGUUAUGGUAAUUAAAAUGUUAUAAUUA